Molecule: long non-coding RNA, 124 nt
Organism: Strigops habroptila (Kakapo)
Lineage: Eukaryota; Metazoa; Chordata; Aves; Psittaciformes; Psittacidae
Exons: 3
Source: RefSeq, a predicted model, not a curated record
UCCCAGGAGCAGAUGGGGAAGAAUCCUCUCCCUCAGCUUGCUGCUCACGCUCCUUUUGAUGCAGCCCAGCACACGGGUGGUUUCUGGGCUCAAGCACACAUUGAAGCAGCUCAUGUGCAGUUUC